CGAGUCUUAAUUGGGCGUUAAGUUGCAGGGUAUAGACCCGAAACCCGGUGAUCUAGCCAUGGGCAGGUUGAAGGUUGGGUAACACUAACUGGAGGACCGAACCGACUAAUGUUGAAAAAUUAGCGGAUGACCUGUGGCUGGGGGUGAAAGGCCAAUCAAACCGGGAGAUAGCUGGUUCUCCCCGAAAGCUAUUUAGGUAGCGCCUCGUGAAUUCAUCUCCGGGGGUAGAGCACUGUUUCGGCUAGGGGGCCAUCCCGGCUUACCAACCCGAUGCAAACUGCGAAUACCGGAGAAUGUUAUCACGGGAGACACACGGCGGGUGCUAACGUCCGUCGUGAAGAGGGAAACAACCCAGACCGCCAGCUAAGGUCCCAAAGUCAUGGUUAAGUGGGAAACGAUGUGGGAAGGCCCAGACAGCCAGGAUGUUGGCUUAGAAGCAGCCAUCAUUUAAAGAAAGCGUAAUAGCUCACUGGUCGAGUCGGCCUGCGCGGAAGAUGUAACGGGGCUAAACCAUGCACCGAAGCUGCGGCAGCGACACUGUGUGUUGUUGGGUAGGGGAGCGUUCUGUAAGCCUGUGAAGGUGUGUCGUGAGGCAUGCUGGAGGUAUCAGAAGUGCGAAUGCUGACAUAAGUAACGAUAAAGCGGGUGAAAAGCCCGCUCGCCGGAAGACCAAGGGUUCCUGUCCAACGUUAAUCGGGGCAGGGUGAGUCGACCCCUAAGGCGAGGCCGAAAGGCGUAGUCGAUGGGAAACGGGUUAAUAUUCCCGUACUUGGUGUUACUGCGAAGGGGGGACGGAGAAGGCUAUGUUGGCCGGGCGACGGUUGUCCCGGUUUAAGCGUGUAGGUGUGUGUUCCAGGUAAAUCCGGUUCACUUUAACACUGAGGCGUGACGACGAGGCACUACGGUGCUGAAGCAACAAAUGCCCUGCUUCCAGGAAAAGCCUCUAAGCAUCAGGUAACAUCAAAUCGUACCCCAAACCGACACAGGUGGUCAGGUAGAGAAUACCAAGGCGCUUGAGAGAACUCGGGUGAAGGAACUAGGCAAAAUGGUGCCGUAACUUCGGGAGAAGGCACGCUGACACGUAGGUGAAGUGAUUUACUCAUGGAGCUGAAGUCAGUCGAAGAUACCAGCUGGCUGCAACUGUUUAUUAAAAACACAGCACUGUGCAAACACGAAAGUGGACGUAUACGGUGUGACGCCUGCCCGGUGCCGGAAGGUUAAUUGAUGGGGUCAGCGCAAGCGAAGCUCCUGAUCGAAGCCCCGGUAAACGGCGGCCGUAACUAUAACGGUCCUAAGGUAGCGAAAUUCCUUGUCGGGUAAGUUCCGACCUGCACGAAUGGCGUAAUGAUGGCCAGGCUGUCUCCACCCGAGACUCAGUGAAAUUGAACUCGCUGUGAAGAUGCAGUGUACCCGCGGCAAGACGGAAAGACCCCGUGAACCUUUACUAUAGCUUGACACUGAACAUUGAGCCUUGAUGUGUAGGAUAGGUGGGAGGCUUUGAAGUGUGGACGCCAGUCUGCAUGGAGCCGACCUUGAAAUACCACCCUUUAAUGUUUGAUGUUCUAACGUGGACCCGUUACCCGGGUUGCGGACAGUGUCUGGUGGGUAGUUUGACUGGGGCGGUCUCCUCCUAAAGAGUAACGGAGGAGCACGAAGGUUGGCUAAUCCUGGUCGGACAUCAGGAGGUUAGUGCAAUGGCAUAAGCCAGCUUGACUGCGAGCGUGACGGCGCGAGCAGGUGCGAAAGCAGGUCAUAGUGAUCCGGUGGUUCUGAAUGGAAGGGCCAUCGCUCAACGGAUAAAAGGUACUCCGGGGAUAACAGGCUGAUACCGCCCAAGAGUUCAUAUCGACGGCGGUGUUUGGCACCUCGAUGUCGGCUCAUCACAUCCUGGGGCUGAAGUAGGUCCCAAGGGUAUGGCUGUUCGCCAUUUAAAGUGGUACGCGAGCUGGGUUUAGAACGUCGUGAGACAGUUCGGUCCCUAUCUGCCGUGGGCGCUGGAGAACUGAGGGGGGCUGCUCCUAGUACGAGAGGACCGGAGUGGACGCAUCACUGGUGUUCGGGUUGUCAUGCCAAUGGCACUGCCCGGUAGCUAAAUGCGGAAGAGAUAAGUGCUGAAAGCAUCUAAGCACGAAACUUGCCCCGA
Molecule: ribosomal RNA, 2143 nt
Filed under: Salmonella enterica
Lineage: Bacteria; Pseudomonadati; Pseudomonadota; Gammaproteobacteria; Enterobacterales; Enterobacteriaceae
Description: partial 23S ribosomal RNA
Rfam family: Bacterial large subunit ribosomal RNA
Source: RNAcentral